Molecule: long non-coding RNA, 228 nt
Filed under: Elaeis guineensis (African oil palm)
Lineage: Eukaryota; Viridiplantae; Streptophyta; Magnoliopsida; Arecales; Arecaceae
Description: long non-coding RNA (EGUI_LNC053334)
Source: RNAcentral
CCUCUGCUCUCCAAAAAUCUGGUAGUCCAGUCUUCAUCACCAUGAAAACUACCAUGAAUGCUUGAUCUUUAUUUGAGAAUAGAAUAAAAUAAUUUCAAUCUAUUCUCAAAUAACUUUUUUUCUAUUAUUUUAUAUCAUUAUGUAAAAAAAAUCCCAAUCAACAGUUAGAAAUAUAGAAAGGAGAGGUUCAGUUGAUAAUAUAAUAUAUCAGGGAUACCUAGUCCUUAU